Molecule: unclassified non-coding RNA, 240 nt
Filed under: soil metagenome
Description: partial contains 5.8S ribosomal RNA, internal transcribed spacer 2, and large subunit ribosomal RNA
Source: RNAcentral
AACGGUCUAUACCUGCGGUACCUGCGGAAGGAUCAUUACCGAGUUAUCAACUCCCAAACCCCUGUGAACAUACCCGAACGUUGCCUCGGCGGGACCGCCCCGGCGCCCCUAGCGGCCCGGAACCAGGCGCCCGCCGGAGGACCCAAACUCUUGCUUUAAACAGUGGCAUACUCUCUGAGUCUCACAAACAAAAAAUAAAUCAAAACUUUCAGCAAUGGAUCUCUAGAUCGGAAGACACAC